UGCAGUCGAGCGGCAGCACGGGUACUUGUACCUGGUGGCGAGCGGCGGACGGGUGAGUAAUGCCUAGGAAUCUGCCUGGUAGUGGGGGAUAACGCUCGGAAACGGACGCUAAUACCGCAUACGUCCUACGGGAGAAAGCAGGGGACCUUCGGGCCUUGCGCUAUCAGAUGAGCCUAGGUCGGAUUAGCUAGUUGGUGAGGUAAUGGCUCACCAAGGCGACGAUCCGUAACUGGUCUGAGAGGAUGAUCAGUCACACUGGAACUGAGACACGGUCCAGACUCCUACGGGAGGCAGCAGUGGGGAAUAUUGGACAAUGGGCGAAAGCCUGAUCCAGCCAUGCCGCGUGUGUGAAGAAGGUCUUCGGAUUGUAAAGCACUUUAAGUUGGGAGGAAGGGCAUUUACCUAAUACGUAAGUGUUUUGACGUUACCGACAGAAUAAGCACCGGCUAACUCUGUGCCAGCAGCCGCGGUAAUACAGAGGGUGCAAGCGUUAAUCGGAAUUACU
This 505-nucleotide ribosomal RNA is filed under the name Pseudomonas sp. Its description in RNAcentral is "bacterial SSU rRNA". It matches the Rfam family "Bacterial small subunit ribosomal RNA", at positions 56 to 555 of the family's 1533-position model. Lineage: Bacteria; Pseudomonadati; Pseudomonadota; Gammaproteobacteria; Pseudomonadales; Pseudomonadaceae. The record is from RNAcentral.